AUUCCAGCUCCAAUAGCGUAUAUUAAAGUUCGUUGCGGUAAAAAAGCUCGUAGUUGGAUUUCUGUUGAAGACGUCCGGUCCAUACCACGUAUGCGCAUCUGGCUCGGCUUCGGCAUCCUCUCGAAAGACGUUUCUGCGCUUGAUUGCGUGGAGCGGAUCUCGGGACUUUUACUUUGAGGAAAUUAGAGUGUUCACGGCAGGCUAUCGCCAGAAUACAUUAGCAUGGAAUAAUACUAUAGGAUCUCGGUUCUAUUUUGUUGGUUUCUAGAAUUGAGAUAAUGAUUAAUAGGGACAAUUGGGGGCAUUCGUAUCAACACGUUAGAGGUGAAAUUCUUGGAUCGUGUUGCGACGAACUACUGCGAAAGCAUUUGCCAAGGAUGUUUUCAUUGAUCAAGAACGAAAGUAAGGGGAUCGAAGACGAUUAGAUACCGUCGUAGUCUUUACCAUAAACUAUGCCAACUAGAGAUGGGACAUCGUUCACUUAAGACUUGUUCCGCACCUUAUGAGAUAUCAAAGUCUUUGGGUUCCGGGGGGAGUAUGGUCGCAAGUCUGAAACUUAAAGGAAUUGACGGAAGGGCACCACCAGGAGUGGAGCCUGCGGCUUAAUUUGACUCAACACGGGGAAACUCACCAGGUCCAGACAUAAUAAGGAUUGACAGAUUGAUAGCUCUUUCUUGAUUUUAUGGGUGGUGGUGCAUGGCCGUUCUUAGUUCGUGGAGUGAUUUGUCUGCUUAAUUGCGUUAACGAACGAGACCUUAACCUGCUAAAUAGGAGCGCCUAUCUCCGGAUAAGCGCCUUUCUUCUUAGAGGGACUUUAUGCGUUUCAGCAUGAGGAAGUUUGAGGCUAAA
Molecule: ribosomal RNA, 849 nt
Filed under: uncultured eukaryote
Lineage: Eukaryota
Description: SSU rRNA
Rfam family: Eukaryotic small subunit ribosomal RNA
Source: RNAcentral